AUUGAACGCUGGCGGCAUGCCUUACACAUGCAAGUCGAACGGUAACGGGCCUUCGGGUGCCGACGAGUGGCGCACGGGUGAGUAAUACAUCGGAACGUGCCCGAUCGUGGGGGAUAACGAGGCGAAAGCUUUGCUAAUACCGCAUACGAUCUACGGAUGAAAGCAGGGGACCGCAAGGCCUUGCGCGGACGGAGCGGCCGAUGGCAGAUUAGGUAGUUGGUGGGAUAAAAGCUUACCAAGCCGACGAUCUGUAGCUGGUCUGAGAGGAUGAUCAGCCACACUGGGACUGAGACACGGCCCAGACUCCUACGGGAGGCAGCAGUGGGGAAUUUUGGACAAUGGGCGCAAGCCUGAUCCAGCCUUGCCGCGUGCAGGAUGAAGGCCUUCGGGUUGUAAACUGCUUUUGUACGGAACGAAAAGCCUUCUUUUAAUACAGGAGGGUCAUGACGGUACCGUAAGAAUAAGCACCGGCUAACUACGUG
RNAcentral lists this ribosomal RNA (482 nucleotides) under uncultured bacterium. RNAcentral's name for it is "partial 16S ribosomal RNA". It matches the Rfam family "Bacterial small subunit ribosomal RNA", at positions 30 to 507 of the family's 1533-position model. The record is from RNAcentral.